UGCGAAUGGCUCAUUAAAUCAGUUAUCGUUUAUUUGAUAGUACCUUACUACUUGGAUAACCGUGGUAAUUCUAGAGCUAAUACAUGCUAAAAACCCCAACUUCGGGAGGGGUGUAUUUAUUAGAUAAAAAACCAAUGCCCUUCGGGGCUCCUUGGUGAUUCAUGAUAACUUCUCAGAUCGCAUGGCUUUACGCCGGCGACGGUUCAUUCAAAUUUCUGCCCUAUCAACUUUCGAUGGUAAGGUAUUGGCUUACCAUGGUUUCAACGGGUAACGGGGAAUUAGGGUUCGAUUCCGGAGAGGGAGCCUGAGAAACGG
This 315-nucleotide ribosomal RNA is filed under the name Paraphaeosphaeria sp. BASZUN0901. RNAcentral's name for it is "SSU rRNA". It matches the Rfam family "Eukaryotic small subunit ribosomal RNA", at positions 88 to 406 of the family's 1831-position model. The record is from RNAcentral. Lineage: Eukaryota; Fungi; Ascomycota; Dothideomycetes; Pleosporales; Didymosphaeriaceae.